RNAcentral lists this ribosomal RNA (253 nucleotides) under uncultured bacterium. RNAcentral's name for it is "partial 16S ribosomal RNA". It matches the Rfam family "Bacterial small subunit ribosomal RNA", at positions 524 to 776 of the family's 1533-position model. The record is from RNAcentral.
UACGAGGGGGGCGAGCGUUGUUCGGAAUUAUUGGGCGUAAAGGGUGCGUAGGCGGUUUGGUAAGUCUGAUGUGAAAUCUAUGGGCUCAACUCAUAGUCUGCAUCGGAAACUGCCGGGCUUGAGUGUGGGAGAGGUGAGUGGAAUUCCUGGUGUAGCGGUGGAAUGCGCAGAUAUCAGGAGGAACACCAAUAGCGAAGGCAGCUCGCUGGGACGUUACUGACACUGAGGCGCGAAAGCGUGGGGAGCGAACAGG